Molecule: ribosomal RNA, 444 nt
Filed under: uncultured bacterium
Lineage: Bacteria
Description: bacterial SSU rRNA
Rfam family: Bacterial small subunit ribosomal RNA
Source: RNAcentral
GACGAACGCUGGCGGCGUGCCUAACACAUGCAAGUCAAGGGCUUAUUUGUAGCAAUACGGAUAGGCACUGGCGCACGGGUGAGUAACGCGUAGAUAAUCUGCCCCUAACACAGGCACAACAGUUCUAACGGACUGCUAAUACCUGAUGAGGAGGAAGCUCCAAAGAAUUUCGGUUAGGGAUGAGUCUGCGUCUGAUUAGGUAGUUGGUGAGGUAAUGGCUCACCAAGCCUACGAUCAGUAACUGGUCUGAGAGGACGAACAGUCACACUGGAACUGAGACACGGCCCAGACUCCUACGGGAGGCAGCAGUGGGGAAUCUUAGACAAUGGGGGAAACCCUGAUCUAGCCAUGCCGCGUGAGCGAUGAAGGCCUUAGGGUUGUAAAGCUCUUUCAGCUGGGAAGAUAAUGACGGUACCAGCAGAAGAAGCCCCGGCUAACUCCGCG